RNAcentral lists this ribosomal RNA (376 nucleotides) under uncultured bacterium. RNAcentral's name for it is "bacterial SSU rRNA". It matches the Rfam family "Bacterial small subunit ribosomal RNA", at positions 29 to 433 of the family's 1533-position model. The record is from RNAcentral.
AACGAACGCUGGCGGCAUGCCUAACACAUGCAAGUCGAACGAGACCUUCGGGUCUAGUGGCGCACGGGUGCGUAACGCGUGGGAACCUGCCUUUAGGUUCGGAAUAACUCAGAGAAAUUUGAGCUAAUACCGGAUAAUGUCUUCGGACCAAAGAUUUAUCGCCUUUAGAUGGGCCCGCGUUGGAUUAGCUAGUUGGUGGGGUAAAGCCUACCAAGGCGACGAUCCAUAGCUGGUCUGAGAGGAUGAUCAGCCACACUGGGACUGAGACACGGCCCAGACUCCUACGGGAGGCAGCAGUGGGGAAUAUUGGACAAUGGGCGAAAGCCUGAUCCAGCAAUGCCGCGUGAGUGAUGAAGGCCUUAGGGUUGUAAAGCUC